GGGGAUGUAGCUUAAUCGGUAGAGCAUUAAGCUAUGUGUCCUUGAAGGAACGGGGUUCCAUUCCUCGCAUCUCCA
RNAcentral lists this transfer RNA (75 nucleotides) under Dichanthelium oligosanthes. It matches the Rfam family "tRNA". Rfam says of the family: Transfer RNA (tRNA) molecules are approximately 80 nucleotides in length. Their secondary structure includes four short double-helical elements and three loops (D, anti-codon, and T loops). Further hydrogen bonds mediate the characteristic L-shaped molecular structure. tRNAs have two regions of fundamental functional importance: the anti-codon, which is responsible for specific mRNA codon recognition, and the 3' end, to which the tRNAs corresponding amino acid is attached (by aminoacyl-tRNA synthetases). tRNAs cope with the degeneracy of the genetic code in two manners: having more than one tRNA (with a specific anti-codon) for a particular amino acid; and 'wobble' base-pairing, i.e. permitting non-standard base-pairing at the 3rd anti-codon position. The record is from Rfam by way of RNAcentral. Lineage: Eukaryota; Viridiplantae; Streptophyta; Magnoliopsida; Poales; Poaceae.